UUAUAUUCCUUUUUAUCAAAAGAUAAAAAGGGAAAGAUUUAUUGGUAAGAGAUUAGCCUGUAUUGUAUCAGUUAGUUGGUGGGGUAAUGGCCUACCAAGACGAUGACGCAUAACUGGUUUGAGAGGAUGAUCAGUCACACUGGAACUGAGACACGGUCCAGACUCCUACGGGAGGCAGCAGUGGGGAAUAUUGCACAAUGGACGAAAGUCUGAUGCAGCAACGCCGCGUGGAGGAUGACACAUUUCGGUGCGUAAACUCCUUUUAUAUAAGAAGAUAAUGACGGUAUUAUAUGAAUAAGCACCGGCUAACUCCGUGCCAGCAGCCGCGGUAAUACGGAGGGUGCAAGCGUUACUCGGAAUCACUGGGCGUAAAGAGCGUGUAGGCGGAUUGAUAAGUUUGAAGUGAAAUCCUAUAGCUUAACUAUAGAACUGCUUUGAAAACUGUUAAUCUAGAAUGUGGGAGAGGUAGAUGGAAUUUCUGGUGUAGGGGUAAAAUCCGUAGAGAUCAGAAGGAAUACCGAUUGCGAAGGCGAUCUACUGGAACAAUAUUGACGCUGAGACGCGAAAGCGUGGGGAGCAAACAGGAUUAGAUACCCUGGUAGUCCACGCCCUAAACGAUGUACACUAGUUGUUGUGAGGCUCGACCUUGCAGUAAUGCAGUUAACACAUUAAGUGUACCGCCUGGGGAGUACGGUCGCAAGAUUAAAACUCAAAGGAAUAGACGGGGACCCGCACAAGCGGUGGAGCAUGUGGUUUAAUUCGACGAUACACGAAGAACCUUACCUGGACUUGACAUAGUAAGAAUGAUUUAGAGAUAGAUUAGUGUCUGCUUGCAGAAACUUGCAUACAGGUGCUGCACGGCUGUCGUCAGCUCGUGUCGUGAGAUGUUGGGUUAAGUCCCGCAACGAGCGCAACCCUCGUCCUUAGUUGCUAACAGUUCGGCUGAGAACUCUAAGGAGACUGCCUACGCAAGUAGGAGGAAGGUGAGGAUGACGUCAAGUCAUCAUGGCCCUUACGUCCAGGGCUACACACGUGCUACAAUGGGGUAUACAAAGAGCAGCAAUACGGUGACGUGGAGCAAAUCUCAAAAAUGCCUCCCAGUUCGGAUUGUA
This 1112-nucleotide ribosomal RNA is filed under the name Aliarcobacter butzleri. RNAcentral describes it as "bacterial SSU rRNA". It matches the Rfam family "Bacterial small subunit ribosomal RNA", at positions 171 to 1302 of the family's 1533-position model. The record is from RNAcentral. Lineage: Bacteria; Pseudomonadati; Campylobacterota; Epsilonproteobacteria; Campylobacterales; Arcobacteraceae.